Non-coding RNA from Triticum urartu, 4077 nucleotides. NCBI's taxonomy places the organism in Eukaryota, Viridiplantae, Streptophyta, Magnoliopsida, Poales, Poaceae. The record is from RefSeq and is a predicted model, not a curated record.
CGCACCCGAUCUCCCGUCCAAAAGAAAAACGCUGUGACCAGCGAGCCGCUCCCUCUCUCUCCUCGUACGAGUCAUGGCGCGCGCUAGGGUUUCUCACGCCGCCUCCGCCGCCGCCCACCUCCAUCCCCUCCCCAACCCCGACCGGCCUCCACUCCUCUGCGGGCGCCACACAACCGCCGCCGCCCUCUCCACGCACCCGCACCCACUCACCCAACUCUCUCUCCGCCGCCGCCAUCUAGAGCUCGGCCGGUCGAUUCCGGCGGCGCGCAUCACACUCCUCCUGUGCUCGCCUCGCGCCGCUGCGUCCACCCAUCCGGCUGGAUUCGCCGCUCCCCUGUGGCAAGGGCUUUGGUCGCCUCCAACUCCGGCGACUCCGGCGGUUCAUCUCCGACGCCUACCCAGCCCCCACACGCAGCUCUGUCUCCUGGAUGAAUUUAUCCUGCUCGAGGACGACUGGUUCUUCCUCAACCUCCAAGGACGCCCGCCAUCGUCGAGCCUCCCUCCGUGGGAUGCUAUGGAGAUGAAACUCCCCUCGACCAGGGAAUUCAAGGGCAUGUGGGAGAGAGAGGAGGUCCAUGGAGAAGAUGCUCUGCUCCAACCCUCACUCACUCCUACUACAAGAUGUCUUUUUUUGUGUGUGCUUGUAUUGCAGCAGCCAUGUGCGUAUCAAAAAGAGGGUCCAGUUUGCAGCAGUCACAUGAUAUGGACAUGUUUUUUCAUCACAAUUGGAUUUUUGGAUUUACUAGCCUAAUUGGUGGUGGUUGCUGCUGUUGUUGUUUUAGUAGCAGCAGCAGCAGCAGGCCGAGUGACGGCGGUGGUUGUGUGCAGGGAGGGUUGGCGAUGAUUAGCACAAGGGGUAGGCUGCUGCUUCAACCUCGUUAAGUAACGAGCAAUUUCGAGUCGUGGCUCUAGGGGAACAAGUUGAGCAAGUGCAGCCAUUGUCAAGCUUCGUCACUUCACCAGCAACUCAGGAGAGGUGUUUUUUCCGGGUAUUGACGCUUCGGCCAUAGUCGCGUUGAUCCACCACUCACAUAUAUAGAUAAUAGUAUCUGGACGCAGCAGCUGGACGCCAGUGUCGGACACUCUGGCUGCGACGGCCGCCUCAGCAGUUCCACACAUGAGCCGGGUAAUGCAGCAAUAUAGGAUGCUGCAUCUGUUCAUUCCACCAUGACAGUACACUAUAUAAUUUACGAAAGAUGGGCAUGAUAGUCUGUUCUUGAUUCAUUAGAACAUGACCUACCAAGAUGUCGAGGAAUUAACGGCAUCCUGAAUAAAAGAUGGUUCCUUAAUUGUUUGAUUUGUUAAGUCUUACAAAUAAAUAGAUACUGUGAUCCAUGGAAUUCUUCCAUUGUUUGUAUUGAUGUUGAAUGACAAUAUGCUCUUCUUAUAUACUUCCACAUAUAGUAGAAUAUUCCUUUGGGAUAAAUUGACUUGUUCUAUUUGAAAGUGCUGCACCGGCACCAGUAAACAAAUCCAAUCUCAUAUGUCAUCUAUUUAUUCUGAUAAAUGGUGCCAUGUAGAAUAGGAAUUAGAAAAAAAAUGAGUACUGGGAUACAUUGCAAACUAUGGAACAAAAGAAACCUACUUGAAAAGGUCUUGUUCUAUUGAUCUGUUAUAUACCAAAAACUUGUUGUAAUAUGUUUUUUCCGUACUAAAUCUUCUGUACAAACUAUUUAUAGGAGAGGUGUUUUUUCCGGGUAUUGACGCUUCGGCCAUAGUCGCGUUGAUCCACCACUCACAUAUAUAGAUAAUAGUAUCUGGACGCAGCAGCUGGACGCCAGUGUCGGGCACUCUGGCUGCGACGGCCGCCUCAGCAGUUCCACACAUGAGCCGGGCUGGAGGACCCAGACUCGGAGGAGACGAUAGAGUUCAUGGCAAGCGAGCGGACUUGACCGAGUCCAUGCUUGCCUGGUUAGGGAGAGCCUCCAGCGCAAGGUCAUGCGCUGCUUCUCUCCUCUAUUUGGAUUUUAUUAAUUGGUGUCUUUUUACUGACUCCUUCGCUAUUGCUGUGCGCUCCUCAGCUUAGUCCUGCCUCUCUAGAUUACUUCUAGAUCCUACUGAUGGUCUUGAGUUUGCACAAUUCCGGGAUGUCAGCUCGCCGCACAUGUGAUACAUAUUGUUAAUAGUUACAGAAUUCCCUGGGUGUUCUUUGUUAUUUUUGUGCACAGAAGAUUUUUGUGUCUUCGUCCGAGCCAAUUUCAGUUUUUUGUGUCUUCAUCCGAGCCAAUUUCAGUUACAAAUCCCCGAGUUAAACUGCAUGUGGCUAACAACGUUGCAGAUGAAGUUCUCGUCUUUGAUUAGAAGUUUGACAUGUGCUAAGAGUUUUUCUGUGGUUGAUAUCCUGCACCUAGGUAUGUUUAUAGACUUAGAGAUAGAAUAUCCUUACUUUCUUAGGGCCUGUUCGGCAACUGCCCAGCUCCUUGUUCGGCAACUGCCCAGCUCCUGGCUUCUCUGAAUCAGCGGGCGAAGCUGGGCCGAACAGGUCAGCUCCCAGAAGCCAGCUUCCCAGAUCUAAGGCGAGUCGUAGUGCAAAAACUGGGAGCGAGUGUUUCGUGGAUCCCAGAAAUCGCAGAAGCUGGAGUUUGAGUUAUUUACGGUGAGCUGCCACCGCGAAGUGAAAGAAAACGCUUCGUCCAGGGAAGAAUAGAACGCAGCAACUACCUUCGCUCCCUAACAGGCUAGAAUCUAGCUUAAUGGGCCAGCCGGCUACCAGCCCAAGACUAGCGAACUGGGAUCUGGGAAUUCUGCUGCCGAACGGUUUUUCUGAUCUACAAUUUUUGUCGGGAAGCUGGAGGUGAGAUCGAGAAGCCGGAUUUGAGGAUUUCUGGGAGCUGGGCAGUUGCCGAACAGGCCCUUAUUUAUAGUGGAUCUGUUGCUGGUGCCUUGCUACAAAGUACUGGUGUUUUGUGGCAACUGCAAAUGAUAAUAGCAUUCUUUAUGCUAAGCUGUAGAUAAAAUAUUGAAGGGUGCAAGUCUGUUAAUCACUCGAUUAGCCAAUUUUUGUUAUUUAGCUAUCAGUUUAACUCAUACAAUUAAAGUCUGAUUGUUGUUGUAAAUAAUGUUGCUAAGCAUUUCUAGGUACCGUGUUUUUCCAAUUGUUGCCACUUGGCAAAUAAUUAUUGUUUUUAGAAGUAUAACAAGUAGUUUAAAAUUUAUUGUGAAUUGCUCUCUUUAGAUUACUAUAUAAUUUCUGUCCAGCAUACCAAUUCUCUCUUGAGCGGGCUCGAUUAGAUGGGGCGCAAUGGCUAUCCACGGUCUAUCCUUUCAAUUAUUUAAGCAUGGACGUUCAUGUGUGCCUGGUUUUGUUGGGUAUUAUAUGUACUCCUAUGAUUAUUUAUCAAGUACCCGCCAACAAAAUAAAAAAUUGUUGUUGUUCUUGCAUCAUUUGGCUAGGAGUUUUUCCCACUUGAUCUGAAUAUUAGUAACUUAAGGCUAAUGAUAUCUCUUACAGCAAACCAGAUUCAGGAUCAUGUCGAUUCCUUAUGGGCCCCAUGAUUGUUGGUGUUUUCCUAUUUCAAAUGAAAACAUCAAGGUCAUUAUCCUAAUUGCAUAACUUAUUCCGCUAGGAUUGUCGUACUAUUUUUUUUCUUCAGGUCCUCGUGCAUGAAAAGCACACACGCGGGGCAGGAGCAUACCUACAGAGAGGUCUGAAGGCACACACAUUCACAAAAAGUAUGGAACCAACAGCAUGCAAGCUAAUGAAGGCCAGUAUAGUUCAAGCUUCAGCUGCCGGAUGCUUUUGCUGAUUAACAUUAAGUAGGUUGGUCGGAAGUGAGCCCUCCUUAUAGUUGAUUAAGAUGAUGUGCAAUCAGUCUAGAAGAUUAGGAUGGCAAUUUCAACGAUACUGUGGAUUAGUGUCAAGCAGAGGUCCAUGCGACUAAACAAAAAUUUCGAUGAAUUUCUAACUUUAAAUUAUAGGUUCCACUAUAACGUUCGUGGUGAUAGAUUAGUGCAACAUAUUCUUUUAAGUUCAGUUCCCCCUUGAGAUCUAUGGGCCUUGAAAUAUUUGGAUAAAAAUAUGUCUCCUUAGCGUCUUUCCAUUCUGCCGAAACAAUAAUGAUGAAGCAUUUUCACUCA